CAGUGUAACGGUAAAGAUCAAUACUAAUAGUGGCGCACGGGUGCGUAACGCGUAACCAACCUACCCGAAUCUGGGGGAUAGCCCGCCGAAAGGCGGAUUAAUACCGCAUAAAACUGCAGCCUGGCAUCAGGUAACAGUUAAAGAUUUAUUGGAUUCGGAUGGGGUUGCGUGCCAUUAGCUAGUUGGCGGGGUAACGGCCCACCAAGGCGACGAUGGCUAGGGGAGCUGAGAGGCUGGUCCCCCACACGGGCACUGAGAUACGGGCCCGACUCCUACGGGAGGCAGCAGUAGGGAAUAUUGGGCAAUGGUCGAGAGACUGGCCCAGCCAUGCCGCGUGCAGGAUGAAGGCUUUCUGAGUCGUAAACUGCUUUUGCCAGGGAAGAAAAAAGGGGAUGCGUCCUCUACUGACGGUACCUGGUGAAUAAGCACCGGCUAACUCCUUGCCAGCAGCCGCGGUAAUACGGAGGGUGCAAGCGUUGUCCGGAUUUAUUGGGUUUAAAGGGUGCGUAGGCGGCUUUUUAAGUCUGGGGUGAAAGCCCGUUGCUCAACAACGGAACUGCCCUGGAAACUGGAGAGCUUGAGUACAGACGAGGGUGGCGGAAUGGAUACUGUAGCGGUGAAAUGCAUAGAUAGUACCCAGAACCCCGAUUGCGAAGGCAGCUGCCUAGACUGUAACUGACGCUGAGGCACGAAAGCGUGGGGAGCGAACAGGAUUAGAUACCCUGGUAGUCCACGCCGUAAACGAUGGAUACUCGCUGGUGGCGACAGACGGUCACUGGCUUAGCGAAAGCGUUAAGUAUCCCACCUGGGGAGUACGCUCGCAAGAGUGAAACUCAAAAG
RNAcentral lists this ribosomal RNA (840 nucleotides) under uncultured bacterium. RNAcentral's name for it is "bacterial SSU rRNA". It matches the Rfam family "Bacterial small subunit ribosomal RNA", at positions 67 to 907 of the family's 1533-position model. The record is from RNAcentral.